This 468-nucleotide ribosomal RNA is filed under the name uncultured bacterium. RNAcentral describes it as "partial 16S ribosomal RNA". It matches the Rfam family "Bacterial small subunit ribosomal RNA", at positions 28 to 507 of the family's 1533-position model. The record is from RNAcentral.
GAUGAACGCUGGCGGCGUGCCUAACACAUGCAAGUCGAACGGAAAGGCCCUGCUUUUGUGCGGUUCUCGAGUGGCGAACGCGUGAGUGUCACGUGUGUAUCCUGCCCUUGUCUUUGGGAUAACUUCAGGAAACUGGGGCUAAUAUAGGAUAGGAGCUCCUGCAGCAUGGUGGGCGUUGGAAAGUUUCGGCGGUUGGGGAUGGACUCGCGGCUUAUCAGCUUGUUGGUGGGGUAGUGGCUUACCAAGGCUUAGACGGGUAGCCGGCCUGAGAGGGUGACCGGCCACAUUGGGACUAAGAGACGGCCCAGACGCCAACGGGAGGCAACAGUGGGGAAUAUUGCACAGUGAGCGGAAGCCUGAUACAGCGACGCCGCGUGCGGAAAGACGGCCUUCGGGGUGUAAACCGCUUUCGCCUGUGACGAAGCGGGAGUGACGGUAAUGGAUAAAGAAGCACCGGCUAACUACGUG